AACUGUACACUGAACAAAAAAAGAAAUUCUUAAGGAAUUUAGUAAAAUACUUAUCUUAGUGAGCUGAAUUAAUAUUGUUUUCCUUUACCUUUUUAACCUAAAUUCCUUGAGAGGGGAAGAGGGCAACCUUAUUAUAAGACAAGUGAAUUUGAGUUUUCAUUCAGUAGUAAAUAGCUUCUUUUUUAACUAAGAACAUACGUAUUGUGAGUAUCUAUUUACCACAAUAAGAACGCUAUGGUGGGCUGCUUUGGCCUUAGUAGUUUCAUGACGUUCAAGGCCUCCUAGUUUCUUAAACGGUGAAUUAUACUACAAGACUGUUCCCUAACGGAUCUU
Molecule: long non-coding RNA, 333 nt
Organism: Zophobas morio
Lineage: Eukaryota; Metazoa; Arthropoda; Insecta; Coleoptera; Tenebrionidae
Exons: 3
Source: RefSeq, a predicted model, not a curated record